Molecule: long non-coding RNA, 3056 nt
Organism: Aedes albopictus (Asian tiger mosquito)
Lineage: Eukaryota; Metazoa; Arthropoda; Insecta; Diptera; Culicidae
Exons: 2
Source: RefSeq, a predicted model, not a curated record
AAAAAUAUUGAACGGUUGUGAGAAAAUUGUGGUAACGCGUCUAUUCCCAUGUGCAACUUUCUGUAAUCGUACAUGUGUUGAUUCUGAACAAAAUCCAUAAAUUUGAUCACUUACAGAGUAUCGCAAUACUACGGGAAUAGACCAAACACAUUUCAAUUCAAUUUUUAGUAGAUGCACAAGAUGAAAUUAAGACUUAAACGAAUGCAAAUUUGGUUAUGAAAAACAGCAACCAAAGUCAUGUUUCAUAUUGAACGUUUCAGAGUAAUCAUGCGUAAAAAUAAACAAACUUUGCUAAAUGCUUGAUAAAUAGUAAUAGUUUCAAGUUGUGCGUAGCUGUGAAAAUAGGUAAUUGAUCUAAUAUUAAAAAAAUUUUAAAAUUGUGUAUUAGCAGUUGUUAAAUUAGACGAAUUCUAUAUCAUCUUCAAAGUACAUGCAAGUUCUAAUAAGGGAAACCUUUUUUUUACUCAUGGUCAACUUACCGAAUAUAUAUUAUUAUUAUCAUAGUAAUGAAAUUAUGUAUACAUAUGUUUUUGUCUCGUCAUUAGGAAGAGCGAAUUAUGAGCAGAUGUAGAUGUUUUACUGUCCCCAUAGAAAUACGUGAAACAUUUCAAGUACCAAAUGGAUAACUAAAAUAACUAAAACGGCCGCUAUAGAAUAAACAGAUAGUACCACCGUAGUCUUGUGUGUCUGAUAUAAUUCCACCGCUGUCACAGUGCUUAUGUCCAUAUACGGUGGCGCCUUUGUUUACAUUCGGCGAACGCUAGAAAAGUUUACAUCAUUGAUCCAUUUUUUACCAUCGGUACACUGUGAUGCAUAAUUGAUCGAACAACACAGAUUUUCAUACAAAAUGGCCAAAGGCUGGGAGGGAGAAACUGACACAAAAAUCGUGUGUGUCGCACAGCAAGCCGUGAUUUCGUUGUCAUGAGCUGUCAAAGCGAGCCCAAAAUCAAAACAACGCUUUCUACGGACGAAACUGAGGAAAGAGCGUAACUGGUAGUAAUAUUUAUUUCACAUUGAAAUCAUACAAAUUCAAUUCCAUUUUCUUCCCAUAAAAAACAUGAAAUAAUUACAACAACUUACAUGUUACGUAAUAAAAUUCAAUCAGUAACGGUGUUUUCGCUGUUUUGAACAAACAUUGACAAUGAACCACAGUAAAACAUUUAUUAUCUACUCAGUCCUUAUUCAAGGUUUGUCCGGAAAGUUACACACCAAACAAAAACGAACGAUGUGCAUGCCGGCUGUCUUGAUGGUUGUUGACACAAUGCAGUUUUCUUGAAGUACGGUGAAGUUUUGUUUUACAUUUCGUGUGUAGUAUCUAGAAUACCCAGGCCAAAGGUACCCCUUUUACUCAGGCAACAUACGAUUUUCAAAGGGUAUACAGCGAGAGAAAGAAAAAAAAAAUCCAUAGGGCCGUUAUAUGAUUUUCGUAAUGAUCGUAUAAAUUCUCAUUAAAUAUCCUUAUAAUUUCGAAAUUCGGAAUGUGCCUUAUGAACUUUUUCAGUUUCUAAAAAUGAGGAAUUAAGUAUUCACCACGGCGAAAUAAAUAUUGUCCCUACAAGUUAUGGAUCACACACAGUAACGGAUCACUUUCAUGUUUAAAGUCGAAUAUCUUGCUCAAAACAUAUGUUUCGGCACGAAAUUCAUUUUUGUAGCAUGAUUCUAUUUGUUUUCUGAGAUAAAAAGUGAUUUACAAAAGCUUAAUCUGAAAAUUAAAUGUAUUGUAUUGCAACGGUAGAGUUUUCUUCUCAUAACUGUCAGAAAAUAGCCGAAUUCCAUAAGAAGCUACUCCUGCAGUGGUAAGCUCUAUAAGUAUCGAAAUCCAUCGAUUUUGAUAUAAAAACCGCUCGUACACCUUGGAAAAGAUAUGUUUCUAUCUAUUUAGCGAAGUUUUGCUUGAUUCUGGGAUUAAAAUACAGUCCCGAUUCGUUCGUUGGCGGCUCGUUAGAUGGGCUGUCUUGAUAGUUGAAUGUACACUGGUUGGGGCAAAACCCAACUAAACAUGACAUGAAUGGAUAAGAAUUCAAGCUCCAACCAAUAAUUUUGAGAUGUGUGAACUAGUAGAAACUCCUCCAUGACAAGCGUGUAGUGGGUACUUUCAAGUCAAGUAAUAAAACUAUGUCUUAGACGGAGACCCAGUCCGUCCCAAGGUCCGUCCUCUACCCAUUCCCUACCAGUUGUACUGAUAACUGCUCUUUACAAUCCGUUCGUCCAGUUAAAGCGUGAAAACGAACGUUAUGGUCAUCCAAGAUUUACGCUUUUGGAAUGAGUUUACCCGACUCUUGAUCAAUUCCUCUGCGAAGGCCUUGACAUUACUCUAAUUAGUUGAUAAGUCAUACUGUAUCUACUUCAAAAUCCUAAAAUAUAGAUACUCGUCAUCCAACAUGUUUAAAUUUUCCUUUUGUCUGUCUCGGCUUUGGUAUCAAGUAAUGAGCAGUGUAUGGCGGAACCGUGAGGGUUCCUGAUAGUAUUUUCAAUACAGAGUCAACUGUAUCAAAAUGUUCAUACUUUGCCCUCUUUGCCCAGACAGAACAUGUCGUGGGCGUGGCACAACUUAGUAAGAAUUUGGUUGUAGUCUUAGCAAAUACCGAUUAUAAAUCAGUGCCAGGAUCUCACAUCAUGCACACUAUCCAGAUCCGGAUAGUAGAGAACAGAAAACGCUUUUGAAUUUCAUCUACGAGGUCUUAUUGUUCUGCUGCCGUCAGUGCCAGUGGCCAGCAUCGCAGAGUUUUUUUUUGUACACAUCCAAUUCUUUUCUUACGAUUAAUUCUUUUGGCAUUUUGUUUCUACCUCAUCUCAUGUUUCGUAGCAUCAUGUAUGUCCAGCAAUAUCAACCUAAAAUGAAAAAUUCAAGGAAUUAAAUACAUAUGAAAUUAUUGCUAUUGAAUUUCCAUUUCCGAAAACUAGUUCAGGAAUUUUUGACGUUUUUUCAUCAACAAUGAAAAUUUUCAACGGCAAAGAGCUUGCUUGGAUCAAACCAUAGUUAAAUUAUAUUGUCGGCAAGAAUUGUCAGAGAGGGGUGAGUCAGAAUUUAUGGAAAGCCAGCGUAAAAUGCUGGA